UGAAGAACGUCUAAUAACCGUCUGAUUUUCGCUCUUUCUCCUGUAUGACUGAGCCACACACAACCUUCUCUUCGACAAGGAAAUUUAACAAGUAUGAAGAGUCCUCCCUCCUCUGCCAGUGUUUCAGUAUAUCUCAGGUACCUUUAUAUCUUCACUUUACUAUCAUAAAUAUACGUGCA
RNAcentral lists this long non-coding RNA (179 nucleotides) under Mustela putorius furo (domestic ferret). Its description in RNAcentral is "lncRNA (ENSMPUG00000029988.1)". Lineage: Eukaryota; Metazoa; Chordata; Mammalia; Carnivora; Mustelidae. The record is from RNAcentral.